Long non-coding RNA from Xenopus tropicalis (tropical clawed frog), 1037 nucleotides. RefSeq lists it as uncharacterized. The record is from RefSeq and is a predicted model, not a curated record. NCBI's taxonomy places the organism in Eukaryota, Metazoa, Chordata, Amphibia, Anura, Pipidae. The transcript has 3 exons.
GUGGCUGGUCUCUCGCAGGCAGUAAAUCUCCGACUCUUAUAGAAAGUCAGCGCCACUUAUUGCCGGGGCAUCGGGGGGCAGACGCGCAAAAGGAUGCUGGUACCCUAUUCCCACUCAGCACGGGCUGCCAUUCACUCUUACCUACUGCGGUGCCCACUGCCCGACACUGGCACUACCUGCCAGGAUUCCAGCACAGCCCAGUACGCUGAAUGGAGCUCCCUGCACAGCUAUGUGACUUUCUUACUGGGAUAACUGGAGGUGUUGGAUUCUCAGCUUCCCGUCUCUACCCGACUACGGCUUCUCCCUGCGCCCCGACAGGUCUGGAAAAGCGGAAUCAUCGAGGGGACGGAGCGGCAGUGAAUCAAUGGAAACGUUUGUGUUUAAAUCCAUUUCUUCUUAUACGUUAUUUGUGUUCCAGGGAUCCGAGAAUUUCGCUUCUGAUUUUUUUUUUAUCCAUUUUUAUUUAUUUUUACAUUUUAUUCUUUUGUAAAAAAAUAAUUAUUGUGUGAAUAAAAGCAGGAACGUCGGGCAAAUCAACGAAUUCCGCUUGUUAUUAUUUCUACAGCCGCCGAGUGUAACCAAUAAACUGCUGUUUUACAUCCGACUGAUUGUAGGUAAAUAUUUACCCCCGUUGGAGCCGUUUCGGAGCUGCCCGUUCCCAAUAUUCGUUUUAUUUGGAUAAAAACAACAGGUUUAAUUCUAAAUAAAAGACGAUAUAAUUCGGGGGAACAAGCGUUUGUGGGAAUUUUACUGCAGAAGUUUAAACUGAAUGGAAAUAAAUAAGGUUUGAGAGAGAGAGAAAAAGGGCUUCUGGGAACGCAAAAAAAACCCGACAAAUUUCAUUAUUCGUUUCAUUAAUUUUUUUUGCUGAAAUUUAUUAUUUCCGAUAAAAGUGAAAUAUAUUUCCGGUCAGUACUUUCGUUCGUCGGUUAUUACGGUCUGAGAGGGAUCAUCGCAUUUUUUUUUUUUUUUCACUUGUGUGUUCGGUAACGGUUUCUUCUGUUCUGCUUAAUAAAGGAUUGAAAAGCUGCUAAUUG